GCCUUCGUGGUGUAGUGGUCAGCACGCUUGGUGCACAUUCAAGAGGUCCGUGGUUCGAGUCCCGGCGACGGCA
RNAcentral lists this transfer RNA (73 nucleotides) under Stegodyphus mimosarum. It matches the Rfam family "tRNA". From Rfam's summary of the family: Transfer RNA (tRNA) molecules are approximately 80 nucleotides in length. Lineage: Eukaryota; Metazoa; Arthropoda; Arachnida; Araneae; Eresidae. The record is from Rfam by way of RNAcentral.